UAUCCGGAAUUAUUGGGCGUAAAGGGCUCGUAGGCGGUUCGUCGCGUCCGGUGUGAAAGUCCAUCGCUUAACGGUGGAUCCGCGCCGGGUACGGGCGGGCUUGAGUGCGGUAGGGGAGACUGGAAUUCCCGGUGUAACGGUGGAAUGUGUAGAUAUCGGGAAGAACACCAAUGGCGAAGCAGGUCUCUGGGCCGUUACUGACGCUGAGGACGAAAGCUGGGGAGCGAACAGGAUUAGAUACCCUGGUAGUCCACGCCGUAAACGGUGGAUGCUG
Molecule: ribosomal RNA, 274 nt
Filed under: uncultured bacterium
Lineage: Bacteria
Description: partial 16S ribosomal RNA
Rfam family: Bacterial small subunit ribosomal RNA
Source: RNAcentral